This 599-nucleotide ribosomal RNA is filed under the name Leiodytes nicobaricus. Its description in RNAcentral is "SSU rRNA". It matches the Rfam family "Eukaryotic small subunit ribosomal RNA", at positions 32 to 601 of the family's 1831-position model. Lineage: Eukaryota; Metazoa; Arthropoda; Insecta; Coleoptera; Dytiscidae. The record is from RNAcentral. RNAcentral also lists the same sequence under 2 other names.
UUGUCUCAAAGAUUAAGCCAUGCAUGUCUCAGUACGAGCCACAUUAAGGUGAAACCGCGAAAGGCUCAUUAAAUCAGUUAUGGUUCCUUAGAUCGUACCCACAUUUACUUGGAUAACUGUGGUAAUUCUAGAGCUAAUACAUGCAGAUAGAGCUCCGACCGGAGACGGAAGGAGUGCUUUUAUUAGAACAAAACCAAUCGGCGGCGGGCGCGUUCGCGCGUUCGUUCGCCGCUCUACCUGGUGAAUCUGAAUAACUUUCAGCUGAUCGCACGGUCUCGCACCGGCGACGCAUCUUUCAAAUGUCUGCCUUAUCAACUGUCGAUGGUAGGUUCUGCGCCUACCAUGGUCGUAACGGGUAACGGGGAAUCAGGGUUCGAUUCCGGAGAGGGAGCCUGAGAAACGGCUACCACAUCCAAGGAAGGCAGCAGGCGCGCAAAUUACCCACUCCCGGCACGGGGAGGUAGUGACGAAAAAUAACGAUACGGGACUCAUCCGAGGCCCCGUAAUCGGAAUGAGUACACUUUAAAUCCUUUAACGAGGACCCAUUGGAGGGCAAGUCUGGUGCCAGCAGCCGCGGUAAUUCCAGCUCCAAUAGCGUA